AGAGUUUGAUCCUGGCUCAGAUUGAACGCUGGCGGCAGGCCUAACACAUGCAAGUCGAACGGUAACAGGAAGCAGCUUGCUGCUUUGCUGACGAGUGGCGGACGGGUGAGUAAUGUCUGGGAAACUGCCUGAUGGAGGGGGAUAACUACUGGAAACGGUAGCUAAUACCGCAUAACGUCGCAAGACCAAAGAGGGGGACCUUCGGGCCUCUUGCCAUCGGAUGUGCCCAGAUGGGAUUAGCUAGUAGGUGGGGUAACGGCUCACCUAGGCGACGAUCCCUAGCUGGUCUGAGAGGAUGACCAGCCACACUGGAACUGAGACACGGUCAAGACUCCUACGGGAGGCAGCAGUGGGGAAUAUUGCACAAUGGGCGCAAGCCUGAUGCAGCCAUGCCGCGUGUAUGAAGAAGGCCUUCGGGUUGUAAAGCACUUUCAGCGGGGAGGAAGGCGAUAAGGUUAAUAACCUUGUCGAUUGACGUUACCCGCAGAAGAAGCACCGGCUAACUCCGUGCCAGCAGCCGCGGUAAUACGGAGGGUGCAAGCGUUAAUCGGAAUUACUGGGCGUAAAGCGCACGCAGGCGGUCUGUCAAGUCGGAUGUGAAAUCCCCGGGCUCAACCUGGGAACUGCAUUCGAAACUGGCAGGCUAGAGUCUUGUAGAGGGGGGUAGAAUUCCAGGUGUAGCGGUGAAAUGCGUAGAGAUCUGGAGGAAUACCGGUGGCGAAGGCGGCCCCCUGGACAAAGACUGACGCUCAGGUGCGAAAGCGUGGGGAGCAAACAGGAUUAGAUACCCUGGUAGUCCACGCCGUAAACGAUGUCGACUUGGAGGUUGUGCCCUUGAGGCGUGGCUUCCGGAGCUAACGCGUUAAGUCGACCGCCUGGGGAGUACGGCCGCAAGGUUAAAACUCAAAUGAAUUGACGGGGGCCUGCACAAGCGGUGGAGCAUGUGGUUUAAUUCGAUGCAACGCGAAGAACCUUACCUACUCUUGACAUCCAGAGAACUUUCCAGAGAUGGAUUGGUGCCUUUCGGGAACUCUGAGACAGGUGCUGCAUGGCUGUCGUCAGCUCGUGUUGUGAAAUGUUGGGUUAAGUCCCGCAACGAGCACAACCCUUAUCCUUUGUUGCCAGCGGUUAGGCCGGGAACUCAAAGGAGACUGCCAGUGAUAAACUGGAGGAAGGUGGGGAUGACGUCAAGUCAUCAUGGCCCUUACGAGUAGGGCUACACACGUGCUACAAUGGCGCAUACAAAGAGAAGCGACCUCGCGAGAGCAAGCGGACCUCAUAAAGUGCGUCGUAGUCCGGAUUGGAGUCUGCAACUCGACUCCAUGAAGUCGGAAUCGCUAGUAAUCGUGGAUCAGAAUGCCACGGUGAAUACGUUCCCGGGCCUUGUACACACCGCCCGUCACACCAUGGGAGUGGGUUGCAAAAGAAGUAGGUAGCUUAACCUUCGGGAGGGCGCUUACCACUUUGUGAUUCAUGACUGGGGUGAAGUCGUAACAAGGUAGCCGUAC
Molecule: ribosomal RNA, 1508 nt
Filed under: Enterobacter sp. PGBS002
Lineage: Bacteria; Pseudomonadati; Pseudomonadota; Gammaproteobacteria; Enterobacterales; Enterobacteriaceae
Description: bacterial SSU rRNA
Rfam family: Bacterial small subunit ribosomal RNA
Source: RNAcentral